AUGGAUCUACGGGAUCCUUAAAGACUUCCAAGGGUAGGUUAGCCUUCGGUUCCUCAUUUUCUUCCCCAUCUGGGAGUGGAUGAAAAGAGUGAGUUCUAUAUGUUCAAUAAGGAAAAUAAUAUUAAAUUAACAUUGUAAGGUUUUAAGGUGAAUGAUUUUAAAUUACAAGCUUACCAUUUGGGCACCUUGUAGACCGAUA
RNAcentral lists this long non-coding RNA (199 nucleotides) under Carica papaya (papaya). RNAcentral's name for it is "long non-coding RNA (CPAP_LNC011075)". Lineage: Eukaryota; Viridiplantae; Streptophyta; Magnoliopsida; Brassicales; Caricaceae. The record is from RNAcentral.